GACAGAGGCCUCAAGCGUUAGGCGGAAUCACUGGGCUUAAAGCGUGUGUAGGCGGAUCGUUAAGUGUCUUGUGAAAUCCCACGGCUCACCCGUGGAACUGCUGGGCAUACUGGCGAUCUUGGGCCAACUAGGGGCAGCCGGAACAAGCGGUGGAGCGGUGAAAUGCGUAGAGAUGUGGAGGAACACCGAUGGCGAAGGCAGCCUCCUGGGCCAGCACUGACGCUCAUGCACGAAAGCGUGGGGAGCAAACAGG
This 253-nucleotide ribosomal RNA is filed under the name uncultured bacterium. Its description in RNAcentral is "partial 16S ribosomal RNA". It matches the Rfam family "Bacterial small subunit ribosomal RNA", at positions 524 to 776 of the family's 1533-position model. The record is from RNAcentral.